UUUUUAGGACCCCGUGCGUUGCGACAGCGCCGCUAAACCAAACAAAAAACAUACGUAAAAAUGUUAAGUCACGCAAGUUUGUUACACAAAAGAGUUUCUUUUUUGUGAUGAACUAUUUGUUUCGGAUUUCAUCCACAUGUUUGUAAACCUCUUGUUAUAUAUUGAAGGGUCCAUUUUCAUAAUUUUCGUUACUUCAAAUUUGAUGUAUAAAAUUAGUGUUCUUUUCUCAUUGAUCAUCCUAAUAUUAUUGUACUAGCUUAUAAACCCGUAUAUUACACGUAUUAAAUAUAAAAAAAACUUAGAUUGAAUAAUAUUUUGAUUUAUAAAUGUUACAGACCCGUGUAUUAAGGGUGAUUUAGUAAAAAGGAAUUAAUUAUUGUAUUUUUUUAUUUUACGGUAAUAUUUUAUAAAAUACAUUGUAUUUCUCUAACAGUAUUAAUUAAAUAGUGCAUCAACAUAUUAUAUAACUAUUAAAGAAAAAGGUCGGUGCAACAGUGCACCGACAAAAUUCCAAAAUGCCCUGCUUGCAAAUUAGUCUUCACAAACAACCAACAACGGUGUCUUCUUUCUCUAUCCUGUCAAGGGUUAGAGAACAACCACCAUCAUGGAGGGCUGGAUCCAAACGUGUUUCUCUUCUUCUACACUAACCCUAAAUAGACCCUUCAAAAUAGACUUUUCCUUGAAUCAGCCUCUACAAAUCAUCAACGGCGAAAAAUUCAGUCUUUGGUUUGAGAAAAUCAGCAUCGAAUCAUGGAGAUGGAGCGUAUUACCGAUUUUCCGAUAAGUAUUGUUCACAUCGGACCGAGAAAACUACAGUGAUUUGCCGGGACGUUGUUCAUAAGGCAUCUAAGGUAUUAGAUCUGCUUCGGCGGAGGCGGAUCUUAUGGCGGAAACUGUGGCGGAGGUGGAGGUUAUGGUGGCGGCGGUGGUGGUGGAGGAUACAAUGAUAAUACACAAAAUCAACGUGAAGGUGGAUAUCAAAGGAGGCGGUAGAGCUGGUGGCGGUGGUGGUAGAGGGGGCAGAUAAGGAGACUGGCCCUGCUCUAAUCCAGGGAUAGAAAGAAGAAGGAGCUAGUUCCGGUUCACAACCAAAGGCUCAAGAUCGAGGUAAAUCUCAUGUUUAAAUGCUAUUGCAUCGCUCGGAACCGAACACACCUUGAACGCCUUUAUGCGCUUCCGCAUUCAUUGAUGUAUCAUCAAUGGGUCAAUAUUUUGGUUUAAUUAGGCUAUGUUGGUAGUUAUAAACUCUAAACUUGAAGUUGUAAAUCUUUUGUCAAACACUAGUUGUAAUGGUCGUUUUGAAAGUUUCUUGAGUGUUAUGAAAUUUACUAUGUCUUUUUAAAAUGCGUUGUAGGUCAAUUGUUGAAUGUUAUUAAACAGGGAAUUGCUUAUUUUACGAACGGGUCAUGCCCGAAUUUUAUUAGACAAUAGUAUGAAUUAUUGUAUUUUCGGAUUUAGAAUUUUGGGCAUUUCAGAUUUGAGACGAUGGAAGGUUUUCCAGCGAAGGAGGGCUUAAGUUUUUGAAUUCGGUCAGCGGAGAUUAUGGUAUGGUUCGUGAUGGAGUUCGCCCAUCAUGGCGUUCGGCGGGAGAAGCUAACGCCAACAACUUGUUUUAGAGGAAUUAAUAAUGAUUCUUCAUAUGCUUCCUUUUCCUUGUACAACAAUUUAGAAAAGGAAAGAAAAACAAAUGAAAAGAAGUGGAAUGUGUUAU
Molecule: long non-coding RNA, 1711 nt
Organism: Helianthus annuus (common sunflower)
Lineage: Eukaryota; Viridiplantae; Streptophyta; Magnoliopsida; Asterales; Asteraceae
Exons: 4
Source: RefSeq, a predicted model, not a curated record